Molecule: ribosomal RNA, 783 nt
Filed under: Orpinomyces joyonii
Lineage: Eukaryota; Fungi; Neocallimastigomycota; Neocallimastigomycetes; Neocallimastigales; Neocallimastigaceae
Description: LSU rRNA
Rfam family: Eukaryotic large subunit ribosomal RNA
Source: RNAcentral
UNCAUAUCCAAUAAGCUGUGGAAAAGAAACUAACAAGGAUUCCCUUAGUAACGGCGAGUGAAGCGGGAAGAGCUCAAAUUUGAAAUCUUCAAGGUUCUACCUUGACGAAUUGUAGUUUAUAGAAGUGUUUUCUGUUAGUGGAGUGGCAAAAGUUCUUUGGAAUAGGACAUCAUAGAGGGUGAGAAUCCCGUAUUUGGUCAUUCCUCCUAGCGUUGUGAUACACUUUCAACGAGUCGGAUUGUUUGGGAAUGCAGUCCAAAAUGGGUGGUAAAUUUCAUCUAAAGCUAAAUAUUGGCGAGAGACCGAUAGCGAACAAGUACCGUGAGGGAAAGAUGAAAAGAACUUUGAAAAGAGAGUUAAACAGUACGUGAAAUUGUCAAAAGGGAAGCGUUUGACACCAGUGUUGUUUUUCCGAAAAUCAAUUACGAAUGUUUUGUUUUUGAGGAGUUAUGACUUCAUCGGCUUGCUCCUUUCUUUAUGAAACUUUCUUAAUGCACUUUUCGGUUAACAAGUCAACAUCAAUUUCUUUUGUUGUAAAAGGGUAUGAGGAAGGUGGCUUUCUUUUCGGAGAAAGUGUUUAUAGCCUUGUGCCUCUGCAAUCGGAGAGAUUGAGGUCUGCAGCGUAGAUCCUUCGGGGUUAGAUACGUUUGUGCUAAGUUAUAGCUUUUCAUAGACAACUUGUUGACUAUGUUUAGUCUUGUAGCUUACUCGCUUACGCUAUUUUACCUACGCAUAGGAUGUUGACAAAAUGGUUUUAAACGACCCGUCUUGAAACCACGGACA